CAGAGGGGGCAAGCGUUGUUCGGAAUUACUGGGCGUAAAGGGCGCGUAGGCGGCCUUCUAAGUCGAACGUGAAAUCCCCGGGCUCAACCCGGGAACUGCGUCCGAUACUGGAAGGCUUGAAUCCGGGAGAGGGAUGUGGAAUUCCAGGUGUAGCGGUGAAAUGCGUAGAUAUCUGGAGGAACACCGGUGGCGAAGGCGCCCACCUGGCCUGCUACUGACGCUGAAGCUCGAAAGCUAGGGGAGCAAACGGG
Molecule: ribosomal RNA, 251 nt
Filed under: uncultured bacterium
Lineage: Bacteria
Description: partial 16S ribosomal RNA
Rfam family: Bacterial small subunit ribosomal RNA
Source: RNAcentral